UACGUAGGGGGCAAGCGUUGUCCGGAAUCAUUGGGCGUAAAGCGCGUGUAGGCGGCCCGGUAAGUCCGCUGUGAAAGUCGGGGGCUCAACCCUCGAAUGCCGGUGGAUACUGUCGGGCUAGAGUGCGGAAGAGGCGAGUGGAAUUCCUGGUGUAGCGGUGAAAUGCGCAGAUAUCAGGAGGAGCACCAAUUGCGAAGGCAGCUCGCUGGGACGUGACUGACGCUGAGACGCGAAAGCGUGGGGAGCAAACAGG
Molecule: ribosomal RNA, 253 nt
Filed under: uncultured bacterium
Lineage: Bacteria
Description: partial 16S ribosomal RNA
Rfam family: Bacterial small subunit ribosomal RNA
Source: RNAcentral